AAAUUGAAGAGUUUGAUCAUGGCUCAGAUUGAACGCUGGCGGCAGGCCUAACACAUGCAAGUCGAACGGUAACAGGAAGCAGCUUGCUGCUUCGCUGACGAGUGGCGGACGGGUGAGUAAUGUCUGGGAAACUGCCUGAUGGAGGGGGAUAACUACUGGAAACGGUAGCUAAUACCGC
This 178-nucleotide ribosomal RNA is filed under the name Escherichia coli. RNAcentral describes it as "partial 16S ribosomal RNA". It matches the Rfam family "Bacterial small subunit ribosomal RNA", at positions 1 to 172 of the family's 1533-position model. The record is from RNAcentral. Lineage: Bacteria; Pseudomonadati; Pseudomonadota; Gammaproteobacteria; Enterobacterales; Enterobacteriaceae. RNAcentral also lists the same sequence under 4 other names.